ACUCAAAUGAAUAGACGGGGACCCGCACAAGCAGUGGAGUAUGUGGUUUAAUUCGAAGCAACGCGAAGAACCUUACCAGGGCUUGACAUCCCCUGCAUAGCUAAGAGAUUAGUGAAGUCCUACGGGACAGGGAGACAGGUGGUGCAUGGUUGUCGUCAGCUCGUGUCGUGAGAUGUUGGGUUAAGUCCCGCAACGAGCGCAACCCUUACUGUCAGUUGCCAUCAUUAAGUUGGGCACUCUGGCGGGACUGCCGGUGAUAAAUCGGAGGAAGGUGGGGAUGACGUCAAAUCAUCAUGCCCCUUAUGUUCUGGGCUACACACGUACUACAAUGGACGGUACAACGGGAAGCGAAGGAGUGAUCUGGAGCGAAUCCUAUAAAAGCGUCCUCAGUUCGGAUUGCAGGCUGAAACCCGCCUGCAUGAAGUUGGAAUUGCUAGUAAUGGCAGGUCAGCAUACUGCCGUGAAUACGUUCCCGGGUCUUGUACACACCGCCCGU
Molecule: ribosomal RNA, 496 nt
Filed under: uncultured bacterium
Lineage: Bacteria
Description: bacterial SSU rRNA
Rfam family: Bacterial small subunit ribosomal RNA
Source: RNAcentral